RNAcentral lists this ribosomal RNA (490 nucleotides) under uncultured bacterium. Its description in RNAcentral is "partial 16S ribosomal RNA". It matches the Rfam family "Bacterial small subunit ribosomal RNA", at positions 30 to 507 of the family's 1533-position model. The record is from RNAcentral.
AUUGAACGCUGGCGGCAUGCUUUACACAUGCAAGUCGGACGGCAGCACAGAGAGGCUUGCUUCUUGGGUGGCGAGUGGCGAACGGGUGUGUAAUAUAUCGGAACGUACCGAGUAAUGGGGGAUAACUAAUCGAAAGAUUAGCUAAUACCGCAUAUUCUCUGAGGAGGAAAGCAGGGGACCUUCGGGCCUUGCGUUAUUCGAGCGGCCGAUAUCUGAUUAGCUAGUUGGUGGGGUAAAGGCCUACCAAGGCGACGAUCAGUAGCGGGUCUGAGAGGAUGAUCCGCCACACUGGGACUGAGACACGGCCCAGACUCCUACGGGAGGCAGCAGUGGGGAAUUUUGGACAAUGGGCGCAAGCCUGAUCCAGCCAUGCCGCGUGUCUGAAGAAGGCCUUCGGGUUGUAAAGGACUUUUGUCAGGGAAGAAAAGGCUGUUGCUAAUAUCGACAGCUGAUGACGGUACCUGAAGAAUAAGCACCGGCUAACUACGUG